RNAcentral lists this ribosomal RNA (468 nucleotides) under uncultured bacterium. Its description in RNAcentral is "partial 16S ribosomal RNA". It matches the Rfam family "Bacterial small subunit ribosomal RNA", at positions 28 to 507 of the family's 1533-position model. The record is from RNAcentral.
GACGGACGCUGGCGGCGUGCUUAACACAUGCAGGUCGAACGGAAAGGCCCUGCUUUUGUGGGGUGCUCGAGUGGCGAACGGGUGAGUAACACGUGAGUAACCUGCCCUUGACUUUGGGAUAACUUCAGGAAACUGGGGCUAAUACCGGAUAGGAGCUCCUGCUGCAUGGUGGGGGUUGGAAAGUUUCGGCGGUUGGGGAUGGACUCGCGGCUUAUCAGCUUGUUGGUGGGGUAGUGGCUUACCAAGGCUUUGACGGGUAGCCGGCCUGAGAGGGUGACCGGCCACAUUGGGACUGAGAUACGGCCCAGACUCCUACGGGAGGCAGCAGUGGGGAAUAUUGCACAAUGGGCGGAAGCCUGAUGCAGCAACGCCGCGUGCGGGAUGACGGCCUUCGGGUUGUAAACCGCUUUCGCCUGUGACGAAGCGUGAGUGACGGUAAUGUGUAAAGAAGCACCGGCUAACUACGUG